UGACCCGUCCUGAAGCACGGACCAAGGAGUCUAACAUGUGCGCGAGUCAUUGGGAGAGGAAAACCCAAAGGCGUAAUGAAAGUGAAGGCCGUUUGUCGGUUUGAGGAGAGAUCAUUGACUCUGGGUGCUUCCGCAAGGUUGUGGCCAGAGAAGGUGCGCAUCUCCGGGACGUCUGAACCUCUGAAGGUAGGGCGUACCUAGAGCGUACACGUUGGGACCCGAAAGAUGGUGAACUAUGCCUGGUCAGAACGAAGUCAGGGGAAACCCUGAUGGAGGUUCGUAGAGAUUCUGACGUGCAAAUCGAUCUUCGGAACUGGGUAUAGGGGCGAAAGACUAAUCGAACCAUCUAGUAGCUGGUUCCCUCCGAAGUUUCCCUCAGGAUAGCUGGCAUUCGUGUACCAGUCUCAUCCGGUAAAGCGAAUGAUUAGAGGCCUUGGGGCCGAAACGACCUCAACCUAUUCUCAAACUUUAAAUGGGUGAGAAGUGGAGCUUGCUUGAUCGAAGCUCUACGAUGGAUGGAGAGUGCCAAGUGGGCCACUCUUGGUAAGCAGAACUGGCGCUGUGGGAGGG
Molecule: ribosomal RNA, 570 nt
Filed under: Neelides minutus
Lineage: Eukaryota; Metazoa; Arthropoda; Collembola; Neelipleona; Neelidae
Description: partial 28S ribosomal RNA
Rfam family: Eukaryotic large subunit ribosomal RNA
Source: RNAcentral